This 555-nucleotide ribosomal RNA is filed under the name Saccharomyces cerevisiae (brewer's yeast). RNAcentral's name for it is "partial large subunit ribosomal RNA". It matches the Rfam family "Eukaryotic large subunit ribosomal RNA", at positions 88 to 657 of the family's 3401-position model. Lineage: Eukaryota; Fungi; Ascomycota; Saccharomycetes; Saccharomycetales; Saccharomycetaceae. The record is from RNAcentral.
GGCGAGUGAAGCGGCAAAAGCUCAAAUUUGAAAUCUGGUACCUUCGGUGCCCGAGUUGUAAUUUGGAGAGGGCAACUUUGGGGCCGUUCCUUGUCUAUGUUCCUUGGAACAGGACGUCAUAGAGGGUGAGAAUCCCGUGUGGCGAGGAGUGCGGUUCUUUGUAAAGUGCCUUCGAAGAGUCGAGUUGUUUGGGAAUGCAGCUCUAAGUGGGUGGUAAAUUCCAUCUAAAGCUAAAUAUUGGCGAGAGACCGAUAGCGAACAAGUACAGUGAUGGAAAGAUGAAAAGAACUUUGAAAAGAGAGUGAAAAAGUACGUGAAAUUGUUGAAAGGGAAGGGCAUUUGAUCAGACAUGGUGUUUUGUGCCCUCUGCUCCUUGUGGGUAGGGGAAUCUCGCAUUUCACUGGGCCAGCAUCAGUUUUGGUGGCAGGAUAAAUCCAUAGGAAUGUAGCUUGCCUCGGUAAGUAUUAUAGCCUGUGGGAAUACUGCCAGCUGGGACUGAGGACUGCGACGUAAGUCAAGGAUGCUGGCAUAAUGGUUAUAUGCCGCCCGUCUUGA